CUAUUAUUUGUAACUGAGGUGUGAAACAUCUGCAAGGUAAAUUUAUAACUUAUGCGAUCUGUGAAGUGGCCCUUGGGGAAUUUGAGAGGUUAAGGGCCAGUGAUUUUAUUUUGGCCUCUGAUAGAAAAGAAACCCCUGCAACACUCACCUCAGAUCCCCCAAUAUCUCUAGAGAUUUACCCUCUGUUUCCCUGGGGCUGUCUGAUGUUUACUGUUGCUAGCAACCAUGCAGUUCCCUAGCAACUGUUGUCAUGAUUCAAGCAACCAGGGCAAGUGUUAAAAGCACAAAGAGAUAAAAAUCACUUGAGGAAAAGCAUGCAGGACCGUUAAGAGACCGUUUAUUUCCCACAGACGGGUGGGGGGGGGGGGAGAGGAGAGAACUGGAUGAGGCUUAAGAACAAGAAUUGAUUUUUUUUUUUAUACCACAAUUUCUUUUGUAUUUGGGCAACAAACCAAGCAGGGUGAAGUGUGCUACCUAUUUCUUAUUGUUGUUUCAAGCCAAAUCUGAUUCCUUUUUUUUUUUUUUUUACAGAAAAUUAACCGUUAAUACUUAGUGUUCAAUAGGAAACCAAGGAGAGGAAUGUUGACUUGUUAAGUACCAAUGCCAGCAUUAUGCAGGAAUUAUCUGUUUGCUAGAUAUGAGCAGAGGUGAAAUUCAAACCAGAGACUUCCUGAUUAGUGACUCAGUUUUUCAGUCACACCUGCUCCUAAAAGCAUAAGAACAGCAGAACAACAACCUAAUUACUUUGGCUUGGGAUGUAUUCAUGCGACAACUGAUCCAUAUCGUGCCUGGGAUCUCUUCUACAACUUACAAAAACAAAACAAAACCCCACCCUCCAAUACAAAACAAAAGAAGAGUGAUGCCAAACAGAUCAGUUCCUUAAGAAGCAAAUCAUGGAUUAUGGAUCUUCCUCUGGUCUUAAUGUGUGAGGCUAUGAUUGUUGGCUGUAGUCUAAAUAUUACAAGAUAAAUAUUACAGGAUAAAUUGUCCUCCCCAUUGGAAAGAAAAGGCAUAUUUCCCUACUGAGACUUCAGUAUCCUAUUGUUCCCAGAUGAUCACAAAUUCCUCAACAAAUGGACAGAUGAAAGACUGAAAUUCAAAGGAAGAGAAAGAAAGAAAUAGAUAGGAUAGAGAAAGGAAGGAAAGAGAAGAAGGAGAGAAAGAAAGAGAAGAAGGAAGAAAGAAAAGAAGUCCAUUUCAGUCUUUUAUGGUUAGGAUUGGUGGGUACCUUCCUUUUCUCACUUAGCUAAUUUACUAAAAUGUAAUCCAAUCAAUUAGGCAGGGCUGAAAGACAACUGUGGAGUUUGCAUCCAUGGUAGCACCAUGGGAAAAACCACAUUUGUAAUAGGAAAACCUCCUAGACACAACAGAAACCUCCUUGUGCUUCAGCUGUCUGCUGUGCUGUAACAGGCAUGUUUCUGUGUGCUGAUCCUAAUAACAUCAAGCCUUUUGCAUCCUCUGAAAUAUGCAUGAGAUAGCCACAGCGCACAGGUUUGUCAGCACCAUAUUUCUAACUGAAGAGGGAGUUGCAGAAAGGAGCGACCAUGGGUAUGAAUGUGUGACUCCAGUUAGGCCAGGGGUGAGACAUAUGGAAACCUCUAGAUCAGGGGUGUCAAACUUGAUCACAUCAUGUGAUGUAUUAAGGUGUAUUGUGAUGUUUUUUGCCUUUGCAGAGCCAGGUGGGCGUGGCCACGUGACACAUCCAGCCCACAGGCCACCAGUUUGACCCCCCCCCCCGCUCUAGAUGUUGUAUUCCAAUGCCUAUGAACCUAACCAACAGGGAUAAUGAUAGUGAUAGGCUCCACAGCUUUAAAUAAAGGCUAAAAUGAGAACUCAA
This is a long non-coding RNA of Crotalus tigris (Tiger rattlesnake), 1837 nucleotides long. RefSeq lists it as uncharacterized. The record is from RefSeq and is a predicted model, not a curated record. The transcript is spliced from 4 exons. NCBI's taxonomy places the organism in Eukaryota, Metazoa, Chordata, Lepidosauria, Squamata, Viperidae.